RNAcentral lists this ribosomal RNA (393 nucleotides) under Pagrus major (red seabream). Its description in RNAcentral is "partial 16S ribosomal RNA". It matches the Rfam family "Bacterial large subunit ribosomal RNA", at positions 2036 to 2579 of the family's 2925-position model. Lineage: Eukaryota; Metazoa; Chordata; Actinopteri; Spariformes; Sparidae. The record is from RNAcentral.
AUGAAAUUGAUCUCCCCGUGCAGAAGCGGGGAUAAUACCAUAAGACGAGAAGACCCUAUGGAGCUUUAGACGUCAGAGCAGCUCAUGUAAAGCACCCCUUAACAAAGGAAAAAACCAAAUGAAGCCUGCCCUAAUGUCUUUGGUUGGGGCGACCGCGGGGAAAUACAAAACCCCCAUGUGGAGUAGGAAUACACAUUCCUAAACCCAAGAGCUCCCGCUCUAAUGAACAGAAAUUCUGACCAAUAAGAUCCGGCACACGCCGAUCAACGGACCGAGUUACCCUAGGGAUAACAGCGCAAUCCCCUUAAAGAGCCCUUAUCGACAAGGGGGUUUACGACCUCGAUGUUGGAUCAGGACAUCCUAAUGGUGCAGCCGCUAUUAAGGGUUCGUUUG